This 72-nucleotide transfer RNA is filed under the name Actinomycetota bacterium. Its description in RNAcentral is "tRNA-Val". It matches the Rfam family "tRNA". From Rfam's summary of the family: Transfer RNA (tRNA) molecules are approximately 80 nucleotides in length. Their secondary structure includes four short double-helical elements and three loops (D, anti-codon, and T loops). The record is from RNAcentral. Lineage: Bacteria; Bacillati; Actinomycetota.
GGGCGCUUAGCUCAGCGGGAGAGCGCUCCCCUUACAAGGGAGAGGUCGCAGGUUCGAGCCCUGCAGCGCCCA